Molecule: ribosomal RNA, 468 nt
Filed under: uncultured bacterium
Lineage: Bacteria
Description: bacterial SSU rRNA
Rfam family: Bacterial small subunit ribosomal RNA
Source: RNAcentral
AAUGAACGCUGGCGGCAUGGAUUAGGCAUGCAAGUCGAACGGUGAGGUCCCGCAAGGGACCGAUCAGUGGCGAAAGGGUGCGUAACGCGUGAGCAAUCUGCCCUUGAGACCGGAAUAGCCCCGGGAAACUGGGGAUUAAUGCCGGAUGUGGUUAUCGGUCGCAUGGCCGGUGGACUGAAGGCGCAAGCCGCUCAAGGAUGAGCUCGCGUCCGAUUAGCUAGUUGGCGGGGUCACGGCCCACCAAGGCGAAGAUCGGUAGGUGGUCUGAGAGGAUGGGUCACCCACACUGGGACUGAGACACUGCCCAGACUCCUACGGGAGGCUGCAGUCGAGAAUCUUCCGCAAUGGGCGAAAGCCUGACGGAGCGAUGCCGCGUGAGGGAUGAAGGCCUUCGGGUUGUAAACCUCUGUCGCCCGGGACGAAACAAAUGACGGUACCGGGAGAGGAAGGCUACGGGCUAACUACGUG